UUAAUUGAAGAGUUUGAUCAUGGCUCAGAUUGAACGCUGGCGGCAGGCCUAACACAUGCAAGUCGAGCGGCAGCACAGAGGAACUUGUUCCUUGGGUGGCGAGCGGCGGACGGGUGAGUAAUGCCUGGGAAAUUGCCCGGUAGAGGGGGAUAACCAUUGGAAACGAUGGCUAAUACCGCAUAACCUCGCAAGAGCAAAGCAGGGGACCUUCGGGCCUUGCGCUACCGGAUAUGCCCAGGUGGGAUUAGCUAGUUGGUGAGGUAAGGGCUCACCAAGGCGACGAUCCCUAGCUGGUCUGAGAGGAUGAUCAGCCACACUGGAACUGAGACACGGUCCAGACUCCUACGGGAGGCAGCAGUGGGGAAUAUUGCACAAUGGGCGCAAGCCUGAUGCAGCCAUGCCGCGUGUAUGAAGAAGGCCUUCGGGUUGUAAAGUA
Molecule: ribosomal RNA, 436 nt
Filed under: Vibrio cholerae
Lineage: Bacteria; Pseudomonadati; Pseudomonadota; Gammaproteobacteria; Vibrionales; Vibrionaceae
Description: bacterial SSU rRNA
Rfam family: Bacterial small subunit ribosomal RNA
Source: RNAcentral